RNAcentral lists this ribosomal RNA (369 nucleotides) under uncultured bacterium. RNAcentral describes it as "bacterial SSU rRNA". It matches the Rfam family "Bacterial small subunit ribosomal RNA", at positions 434 to 793 of the family's 1533-position model. The record is from RNAcentral.
CAGCAGUGAGGAAGGCGGAGUCGUUAAUAGCGGCCUCGUUUGACGUUUAGCUGCAGAAGAAGCACCGGCUAACUCCGUGCCAGCAGCCGCGGUAAUACGGAGGGUGCGAGCGUUAAUCGGAAUUACUGGGCGUAAAGCGCAUGCAGGUGGUUUGUUUAAGUCAGAUGUGAAAGCCCGGGGCUCAACCUCGGAAUAGCAUUUGUAAACUGGCAGACUAGAGUACUGUAGAGGGGGGUAGGAAUUUCAGGUGUAGCGGUGAAAUGCGUAGAGAUCUGAAGGAAUACCGGUGGCGAAGGCGGCCCCCUCGGACAGAUACUGACACUCAGAUGCGAAAGCGUGGGGAGCAAACAGGAUUAGAUACCCUGGUAG